RNAcentral lists this long non-coding RNA (1248 nucleotides) under Homo sapiens (human). Its description in RNAcentral is "long independently transcribed non-coding RNA 3095, transcript variant 3 (LINC03095)". Lineage: Eukaryota; Metazoa; Chordata; Mammalia; Primates; Hominidae. The record is from RNAcentral.
ACUCCAGUGACUGCCUCUCAGAAAAGAACAGGGCAAUGUCCAUUCUCCUUUUAUUUUCUUUAAGCACCUGAUCAUUCUAAAAGCAUGUGUUCCUCCGUGUGUGUGAGUUGUGUACACGUGUGUGUGUGUUCCUUUCUUUUCUCGGACUCCAGGCUCAUGACUGCUUAUUUGCAUGGUGUUUUGGUGUCAAAGGAGUGUUGAAUGUGUUCUCCACACACCCAGCUUUAUUCCACUCUAGGAGUUUAACUUCUUCAGCAUUGUUAUGAGGUCCCCGGUGACCUCAGUUUCUCCUCUCCGCGUCAUCCAGGACUUCACCUGAAGCUUGAGCUACACGUAAGACUUCAUCUACCUUGCACAGGGCAAUGGAGAGAGAUUCCUGCAAGUAGACUGACAGCUGCAUGUUUGCAGGAAAGUUAAAUAUUUUGACAGCGCAGAAGACUGCUGCAUCUGGAGGGUUCUGGGUCCAGCUAUAACCAGACUUGCCUGUCCUAAACAAAUGGAUUGACUGCUUCCGGCAUCCUCACUUUACUUCUGCAUGGUGACCAACAUCCGGAGCUUAAUUACCUGACAGCCAGGAGAUAACAAAAAUGUCAUGCCUGAGUCCCUGAUAGCAACCCCAGAGGAGCUCCAGGUUUGAGGCAGCGCUGGCAGGACGUGGUCUAUCUGCCAUCUGAAGCCCUUCAUUGCCCGCCUGGCUGUGAAUCUCACCUCCUCUGUAGUGGAAAACAGGCUGAACAGAACUGGCAGGCAGGUAAGGGACAGCAAACCUUGCAGGGAGGGCCUAGUGCUGAAGCUAAGCCAGCCCUUUGAGUUCAAGCUCAAAGACAUGUGAUGCCAGCUUUGCAGGGGAGCUAAGAUUCUUCCGAGAAAAAGCAGAAUGAGAGAGAGAUAUGCAGCUGCAGUGGAGGACUUGGAAGAGAACAACGCCAGGUCCUGGAUCCUGCAAGAAUCUCCUCUGGAAAAGCAGGGGAGAGAAAAGCAAGGAAGGAAGCAGGGUCACCGCAAGUGUGGGAUUUGUCUUAUUAAAAUCUGAUACUGUGUGGCAGUUUGCUUCACUCUUGGUAUAAAAUGUCUGAGCUCCAUGUUAAAGUAAAUGUAAGUAAUAUAAAUCUGCCUUUCCUGAGGUGAAAAUAGAUCCAUAUUAUUUAAAAUAUGAACUGAGAUAGAUGACAGUUACAAACAUUAUACUUGUUCUUAUUAUAAUUCUUACUAAGCUCAAGGAAUAAAAACUGGGAUGAUGAAAAAGAA